RNAcentral lists this ribosomal RNA (252 nucleotides) under uncultured bacterium. RNAcentral's name for it is "partial 16S ribosomal RNA". It matches the Rfam family "Bacterial small subunit ribosomal RNA", at positions 524 to 776 of the family's 1533-position model. The record is from RNAcentral.
UACGGAGGAUGCGAGCGUUAUCCGGAUUUAUUGGGUUUAAAGGGUGCGUAGGCGGACUGUCAAGUCAGCGGUAAAAUUGAGAGGCUCAACCUCUUCCCGCCGUUGAAACUGGUGGUCUUGAGUGGAUGAGAAGUACGCGGAAUGCGUGGUGUAGCGGUGAAAUGCAUAGAUAUCACGCAGAACUCCGAUUGCGAAGGCAGCGUACCGGCAUCCAACUGACGCUGAGGCACGAAAGCGUGGGGAUCAAGCAGG